Molecule: RNA transcript, 1065 nt
Organism: Gavialis gangeticus (Gharial)
Lineage: Eukaryota; Metazoa; Chordata; Crocodylia; Gavialidae
Gene: FBXO48
Gene name: F-box protein 48
Exons: 2
Source: RefSeq, a predicted model, not a curated record
CGCAUGCGCCCGAGCCGGGGGAGGCAGCCGUCAUGUAAACAUCCCGGUUGGAAUGGGGGCGACUCGUCACGGCGCGAGGCUAGUGGAAUAAGCCUGCCUGGAUAUUUUGGGAGUCCUGAAGUCUGCUGGAACAGAGAACACUUCCAUGUAUACAGCUUCUUAUCCAGGUAUGGACAGUAGAUGGGAAACAACAGCUACAGCUGCUGCCCAGGAGGUUCCGAACUUGCUGAGCAAGCUCAGAGGAGAUCAGAAAGGGGAUGGAUUUAGACACCACCUUCAACCAGGAUAGGACAGAAAGAACAGAGUGGAUUUUAAGGUCUCCAUCUGAUUAAAGUCAACUGGCUAGUGCAACUCAGCGAGUAAAGCAGCUUCAGAGCCAUCUCCUUUCAGAAGAAUUGUUCUAAUGGAUCAGAAUGAGACUAGGGUCAACAGAGACAGGACUUUGAGCAAAAUGUGGUCAUUCAGUUCUCACAGAUACAGAAGCAAAACGUACCACCUCCUUGUAACUGGCCCUGUUAAUAAAGCAGAUGAAAUCCAGGUCUUUCCCUCUUUCAUGACUAAAGCUACUAAAAUGACAACCCAACCCAGGGCAACACUGUCCCAGUACAAUGCAAGUACUGCACACGUGCAGAACUGCACUAUACUGGCCAUAUACUUUCCAGUUUGGGAGAGCAAAUAUUCAGAGGUCCAUUUAACUAUACCACAACAGCAGAGUGGGAUGCAUUUUGAAGAGAGAAAAACAAAACAAACCUUUAAACCAUGCCAAAAAUCUCAAUUUUUCAGAUUUCUUCAGGACUCCAAGACAGCCAUUUUCAAACCAGGCCAUUUGGUAGUUUUAUACAUAACCAUUUCCCAGCCAUUUCCAAAGCACUUUUUCCACCACUCUCUAGGUGGUGGUAACAAGCUGCAUCCACCACAAUAGGUCAGAACUUAUUGUGGCAGACAAUAGGGUGGGUAUAUAGAAGAACUUGACCACUUGCUUGAAGAGCAUAUAUAAGAAGAGGUCAUUCAAAGUCCUCAAAUCCAAACUCAGGACAUGUUUAUUUCAGGACAAAUUGAAAAUUA